This 78-nucleotide non-coding RNA is filed under the name Mesorhizobium sp. Root554. Its description in RNAcentral is "Alpha-proteobacteria SAM riboswitch aptamer". It matches the Rfam family "Alpha-proteobacteria SAM riboswitch aptamer". Rfam says of the family: This family is a riboswitch found predominantly in alpha-proteobacteria that binds S-adenosyl methionine (SAM). This SAM riboswitch is located upstream of the metA and metC genes in Agrobacterium tumefaciens, and other methionine and SAM biosynthesis genes in other alpha-proteobacteria. Lineage: Bacteria; Pseudomonadati; Pseudomonadota; Alphaproteobacteria; Hyphomicrobiales; Phyllobacteriaceae. The record is from Rfam by way of RNAcentral. RNAcentral also lists the same sequence under 1 other name.
GAGCAGUCCCGUGGUGAUUUGGCCGGUCGGCUUGCAGCCACGUAAAAAAAAUCGCUAAAGGACCGUGGAGCACAAAAU